Molecule: long non-coding RNA, 1315 nt
Organism: Nicotiana attenuata
Lineage: Eukaryota; Viridiplantae; Streptophyta; Magnoliopsida; Solanales; Solanaceae
Exons: 6
Source: RefSeq, a predicted model, not a curated record
UGCAUUAAGGAACUAUCUGCAGAAAGACACAAGAUCAAAUUAAGACAGAAACAAUAGUUAGUUUGAGGAAAUUCAGUUAAAGAUCCUACUAAACAGGCUCUUACUUUCCCGCCAGUUGAAUCAACUACAACUAUCCUGUAAUGCAAUAAUACAGUUGGCGUGGCAUCUUCUAGCUUCUAGCUAUCUUCUUCAAUAGCUUCUGUAUCCAUCCUCUGCAAUCUCCAUCUAGCUCACUUCAACUAGAUUGAGCUAGAAUUGAGCUUAACUAAGGAGAUUAACGGGUCUCACUACAAAAAAACGGCGAGUUUGCGGAGGUUUAAGUGAGGCGGUUAUUGCAACCUCCACAAUUUAUAUCAAAUUGGGGGGUUUAUACAACCCCUACAAAUGUAUUAGAUUUGCCCGUGGUCUAUAACCUCCGCCAACCUUAAAAAAUAAAAGCGCGUACUAACCCCAAAUUUUCCCUCUUUUUUGAACCUUUCCCUCUUUUUUUUGGAAACCCCUCAAUAAUUUCAUUGCGCUUUAGUCGUAUAUUUUCUACUUUCAUGAAAGAGAAGCUUUUCAGCUUCCAUUUUCUUUCACUUGAAAAAUUAAAACCCUCACUUGAAGAUUAGAAAAACUGAAAGAGAUUCACAAUACGUUCUCCACAAUAUGAAAGAGAUGCAAAUUUUUGCUUUCUUCCCCAUUCUUUGAUUUUGAACAAUGUGGAUUGUGGGUUCAGAUCUAUGAAGUUUUUGUUGAAUCGGUGUAUUUUGAAGAAGGAUACAACACUCUCUUUUUGAAUUUGAGAUAAUACUAGAGAUGCUGCCCAUGGUUCAACAGUUGAAAUUCCUCUUGAUAGUGCGAAGGAUCUGAAAAAGAAGGAGAAGGACCUACAAGCUCGAGAGGCUGACCUGAGAAGAAGAGAACAAAUUAAAAAGGAGCUAGCAAGAUACUUAACGUGAAGAAAAGGGACGUGUUAAAUUUGUCUAAUGGAGAACGUAUUGUGGUUGAUUUUGACGACACGGAUCCUCGUUCAAUGCCAAUUGAUGCGGCUAGCGGAUCCAUUUCACCCAUGGAUAUAAGAAGAUCAUCCGGUGGAAGUAAUCCUAACGACAACCAUUGAAGUUGCUUGCAAAUGUAUUAGAUAAUUAAGUAACGUACUCGAUUGAAUGGUGAUCUUUUGUCCAUAAUGGUUGGAGUGGAUGUUCUGUUUAAAGUUAGUUUUAAGACUAAUUAAAAUAUUGAUGUUUUGUGUUUAAUGGUUAGAGUACUUGUGUUUAAAGCAAAUUUUUGAGACUAAUGAUAAUUUACUUUAAUGUAUUUUAUGGUUUAUUAA